RNAcentral lists this RNase P RNA (344 nucleotides) under bovine gut metagenome. Its description in RNAcentral is "Bacterial RNase P class A". It matches the Rfam family "Bacterial RNase P class A". From Rfam's summary of the family: Ribonuclease P (RNase P) is a ubiquitous endoribonuclease, found in archaea, bacteria and eukarya as well as chloroplasts and mitochondria. Its best characterised activity is the generation of mature 5'-ends of tRNAs by cleaving the 5'-leader elements of precursor-tRNAs. Cellular RNase Ps are ribonucleoproteins. The record is from RNAcentral.
GAGUUGGCCGAACGACCGCGGGUAUAUGGCGAAAGCCUGUACAUGAGGAAAGUCCGGGCUCCACAGGGCAAGGAUAACGGGUAACGCCCGCCAGGGGUGACCCUCGGACAAGUGCAACAGAAAUAGACUGCCGUGCUUUGCGCGGUGAUGGUGGAAAGGCGAGGUAAGAGCUCACCCAACGCAUGGAGACAUGUGGUUGCUGUAAACUCUAUCCGGAGCAACACCGUGGAACGGGGACACAGAGGCCGGCCCGGCCGUCCCCAGGAGGUGGCUUGAGCCAAGGGGCAACCCUUGGCCUAGAUAGAUGGUCGUUCUCGACAGAACCCGGCUUACAGGUCAACUCA